Molecule: long non-coding RNA, 451 nt
Organism: Poecilia reticulata (guppy)
Lineage: Eukaryota; Metazoa; Chordata; Actinopteri; Cyprinodontiformes; Poeciliidae
Source: RefSeq, a predicted model, not a curated record
UUUAAUUAUACACACAAGUUUUACUGGCCUGUCUUGGACAAUGAAGUGUUUAAAGGGGUGGGGAAAUGAACUCCGGAAAGCAUACUGCAGAACAGAGAUAUUCGGUUACAAUCCUACUGGAUAACAAAAAGCAGCAGGGCUUCAAAUGGAAAUCUUAAUGUUGUUAUUGUUUGGCAUAUUUGCUGAAUGCAUGAAUGACUAUACAACUGCCAAAAACUGAGCGUGAACAGAUUUGCUGUCAACCAAACAGCUCCAAGCUACAAAAAUAGUUAGUUUGGAGUCAAUAAUUUUGCUGUGUUUCCAAAAAAGUAUCCUAUCAGUGUAUAAUGGGAGGGAAAUAACUACUACACCAGUGGAGUGCAAAUCCUCCGACGUUACAGCAGGGGAACAAACAGACUCGCAGAUGAACCAGCAUGAGUCACUCGGGAAGCAAGAAAGCAGAGCAACUCAG